AGUAAGAGAAAGAUUUUAACUUUCAUUUUUGGGGUAUGGGCCCAGUAGUUUAGCUAACUUAUCUUACUA
Molecule: transfer RNA, 69 nt
Filed under: Bario sanctaefilomenae (redeye tetra)
Lineage: Eukaryota; Metazoa; Chordata; Actinopteri; Characiformes; Acestrorhamphidae
Description: Moenkhausia sanctaefilomenae (redeye tetra) tRNA-Met
Source: RNAcentral